RNAcentral lists this ribosomal RNA (253 nucleotides) under uncultured bacterium. Its description in RNAcentral is "partial 16S ribosomal RNA". It matches the Rfam family "Bacterial small subunit ribosomal RNA", at positions 524 to 776 of the family's 1533-position model. The record is from RNAcentral.
UACGAAGGGGGCUAGCGUUGUUCGGAAUUACUGGGCGUAAAGCGCACGUAGGCGGAUAUUUAAGUCAGGGGUGAAAUCCCGGGGCUCAACCCCAGAACUGCCUUUGAUACUGGGUAUCUGGAGUCCGGAAGAGGUGAGUGGAAUUCCGAGUGUAGAGGUGAAAUUCGUAGAUAUUCGGAGGAACACCAGUGGCGAAGGCGGCUCACUGGUCCGGUACUGACGCUGAGGUGCGAAAGCGUGGGGAGCAAACAGG